This 468-nucleotide ribosomal RNA is filed under the name uncultured bacterium. RNAcentral's name for it is "partial 16S ribosomal RNA". It matches the Rfam family "Bacterial small subunit ribosomal RNA", at positions 28 to 507 of the family's 1533-position model. The record is from RNAcentral.
GACGAACGCUGGCGGCGUGCUUAACACAUGCAAGUCGCACGGAAAGGCCCUGCUUUUGUGGGGUGCUCGAGUGGCGAACGGGUGAGUAACACGUGAGUAACCUGCCCUUGACUUUGGGAUAACUUCAGGAAACUGGGGCUAAUACCGGAUAGGAGCUCCUGCUGCAUGGUGGGGGUUGGAAAGUUUCGGCGGUUGGGGAUGGACUCGCGGCUUAUCAGCUUGUUGGUGGGGUAGAGGCUUACCAAGGCUUUGACGGGUAGCCGGCCUGAGAGGGUGACCGGCCACAUUGGGACUGAGAUACGGCCCAGACUCCUACGGGAGGCAGCAGUGGGGAAUAUUGCACAAUGGGCGGAAGCCUGAUGCAGCAACGCCGCGUGCGGGAUGACGGCCUUCGGGUUGUAAACCGCUUUCGCCUGUGACGAAGCGUGAGUGACGGUAAUGGGUAAAGAAGCACCGGCUAACUACGUG